AAAUCGAUUUGAUAAGCUCUUGAGUGGGAUACAAGUGGAGUUAAGAGGGAUUACCACCAUGUGGCUUUAACCUAUUCAAGUUACCUAUGCAGCUCUUCUGAGAAUCCCUUACCUUUUAUGAUAAGUGAAACAAUCUCAAUCUUUGGUUUUCCGUCUUUUUUUACCACAUGCGAUUUUGGCAAUGCUGCUCAUUCCGAACUCAAUUCACAGUGACAGCACUAGUUCAUCGCUGUUCUAGAGAUUCACUACAUGUGAAAGAAAUAACUCGCAUUUUACGAUCCUAAUAUAGACAAUAAAACCGAUUUGAGAGAGAAUAAGAAUGCGAAAUUGUUAGAGAUAUCAGUUAGUAUCGACUAUUUUCAGGUGGAUUAAGGAAAAAAAUUGAAUGCUAAAUUUAUUCAGUUGAAAAAAUAUCGAAAAAUAUGUUAUUUCCUUCAGUCUUAAAAGAAUUCUUUUGAUUAUGAGGGUCGCUGCGUUAGGGCUGACCUCUCCUUCAUGGUGUGAGAGGGUGUCUUGGGCAGAGAUCACUACAUAGCCCAACUGAAGAGUCCAUCAGCGAUCUCGGAACGAAACACCACAGUCCACAAUAAUAAUAAAAAAAAAAUUAAUUUGGUAUACCUAUCUAUUAACAAAAUGUUCAAUGUUCAUUUUCUAUUUCAAUGAUGGUAAUUAAAUUGAGAAAUAUAUGAAAUUAUUGAAUAUGUCAAAUAUUUAUAUUAAUUUAUUAAUACAUUUAAUAAUUUCAAUGAAUCUAUCUGAAUAUUCUUUAUAUCAAAUCACUUUCAUCAUUAAUUUUAUAUAUAAUAUUCCUAAAGAUUUUUGAGAAUUUUGGAAUCUAUUCUAUUAUAUUCCUAAACCUAAAUGUCAAUAUUUAAUAUUCAGUAGAUUUAUGAACGAUUCAUUGUUCAUUGUUAUUAUUUUGAUAAUUUAAAAUAUUCUUAUGCAGACACCAAUAUACUAUUCUUAUAAGAAUUUUCUAAGAAAACUAUUUCUAUAGUUUCUCCGUUCUAUGUUCCAACCAGAAUACUGUCCUUCCAUCGUGUAGCAGUAUUUUAAAAUGGUUGUUGGUGCUUCUUAACUGUAAAAGUGUUCAUCGUUCGUUCUUUUCGCCUUGUGCUCUGCGUCUGUUAACACCACUUAAUAUAAAAGACAUUCAGUACAUCCAAGUUUUAUCAAAUAACAUUUUAAAAUGAAGAAAGGAAAGAAGGUUCAAGACAAGGAUAAACCAAAAAGACCUCAAACUGCAUUCAUGUUGUGGUUGAACGAAAAUAGGAAUAAAAUUAAGUCCAAAAAUCCAGAUAUGAAAGUAACAGAGAUAGCCAAGGAAGGAGGACGACAAUGGAGAGAAUUGGAGGAUAAAACUAAAUGGGAGACGAAGGCUAAGGAAUUCAAAAGGUUAUAUGAAGAAGCAAUGCAGGCCUACAAAGCAAAGCAGGAUGUAGACUAAGAGUUUAAUCUUUUCAAUGUUUAGAUAUAAUUCUUUUGUACUGUGUGUAUUAAUAUGUUAAAAGUGAAUAAAUAAAGUUAUAAGAUUAGUAAAUAAA
Long non-coding RNA from Harmonia axyridis, 1544 nucleotides. RefSeq lists it as uncharacterized. The record is from RefSeq and is a predicted model, not a curated record. The transcript is spliced from 2 exons. Lineage: Eukaryota; Metazoa; Arthropoda; Insecta; Coleoptera; Coccinellidae.